This 187-nucleotide non-coding RNA is filed under the name Parvularcula bermudensis. The record is from RNAcentral. RNAcentral also lists the same sequence under 1 other name. Lineage: Bacteria; Pseudomonadati; Pseudomonadota; Alphaproteobacteria; Parvularculales; Parvularculaceae.
GCCAUUCAGCGAAGAGAUGGUUCCGUGAGAGAUCACGGCGAAGAGGGAACCCGGUGGCAAUCCGGGGCUGUACCCGCAACUGUGAGCCAGGAGCUGACAACCGAUACACCACUGGAGGAAACUCCGGGAAGGGGGUUGGAAGCGAUGAUCGGUGAGCCAGGAGACCUGCCAUCGCGUCGUUCGUCCG